RNAcentral lists this ribosomal RNA (301 nucleotides) under uncultured bacterium. RNAcentral's name for it is "partial 16S ribosomal RNA". It matches the Rfam family "Bacterial small subunit ribosomal RNA", at positions 509 to 809 of the family's 1533-position model. The record is from RNAcentral.
CAGCAGCCGCGGUAACACGUAGGUGGCAAGCGUUGUCCGGAAUUAUUGGGCGUAAAGGGCUCGCAGGCGGUUUCUUAAGUCUGAUGUGAAAGCCCCCGGCUCAACCGGGGAGGGUCAUUGGAAACUGGGAAACUUGAGUGCAGAAGAGGAGAGUGGAAUUCCACGUGUAGCGGUGAAAUGCGUAGAGAUGUGGAGGAACACCAGUGGCGAAGGCGACUCUCUGGUCUGUAACUGACGCUGAGGAGCGAAAGCGUGGGGAGCGAACAGGAUUAGAUACCCCGGUAGUCCCUGUCUCUUAUAU